AAUCCAGGCCCUACGGGGCGCAGCAGGCGCGAAAACUUUACCAUGCGGGCAACCGUGAUAAGGAAACCCCGAGUGCCAGCACAGGCUGGCUGUCCGCCAGUUUAAAUAACUGGUGAAGAAAGGGCCGGGCAAGACCGGUGCCAGCCGCCGCGGUAAUACCGGCGGCUCGAGUGGUGGCCGCUAUUACUGGGCUUAAAGGGUCCGUAGCUUGAUAACUGGGUCCCUUGAGAAAUCCGCCAGUUUAACUGUCAGGCUUUCAGGGGAUACUGUCUGGCUCGAGGCCGGGAGAGGUGAGAGGUACUUCAGGGGUAGGGGUGAAAUCUUGUAAUCCUUGAAGGACCACCAGUGGCGAAGGCGUCUCACCAGAACGGACCUGACGGCAAGGGACGAAAGCUAGGGGCACGAACCGGAUUAGAUACCCGGGUAGUCCUAGCCGUAAACGAUACUCGCUAGGUGUCGGCCACGGUGCGACCGUUGUCGGUGCCGUAGGGAAGCCGUGAAGCGAGCCACCUGGGAAGUACGGCCGCAAGGCUGAAACUUAAAGGAAUUGGCGGGGGAGCACCACAACGGGUGGAGCUUGCGGUUUAAUUGGAUUCAACGCCGGAAAUCUUACCGGGACCGACAGCAACAGAAGUCCAGACGAGGAAUCA
Molecule: ribosomal RNA, 650 nt
Filed under: uncultured archaeon
Lineage: Archaea
Description: bacterial SSU rRNA
Rfam family: Archaeal small subunit ribosomal RNA
Source: RNAcentral